Long non-coding RNA from Amphiprion ocellaris (clown anemonefish), 741 nucleotides. RefSeq lists it as uncharacterized. The record is from RefSeq and is a predicted model, not a curated record. The transcript is spliced from 3 exons. NCBI's taxonomy places the organism in Eukaryota, Metazoa, Chordata, Actinopteri, Pomacentridae.
GGAGGCGAUGGUUCACCUGCUGGUCGGUCUGUGGCUUUCUGUCAGAUUCAAAGUAAUAGAAGAGUCGGAGAAAGCUGAGAGCGGCGAGUGGAAACACUGAGGAGACACACAGGAGAGUUUGGGAGGCGAGCAGCAGUAUCAAGCCGAAGACAAGAGGAUAUGAACUAGACAACAUAUGAGGGAUGUCUGAGGGGGCGGAGCCAAAUCAUUACGACAUCAGACUCACCUGGACUGAUCACCUGAGAACUAUUUAACCUGCCACUCGGUCUGAUUGGUUCUUCUCUUCUGGUUUUAUCUGGUGUGUUUGUCCAACCUGCAGCUCAGGUCCCUCUCUAUCUCCCCACACAUCCACCAACCACUGGAACACAUCUCCAAAGUUCUGCUGGACCAGCUCAGCUUCCCCUCAGAAGAAGUGCCGCCACCUGCCAGAUGAAGGAGCCUUUUGAGAGGCAGCUGGCAUCGUGAUUGGACUGUACUUUGGUCUGUUCCAAUCCAGCUUCAGGUCCAGAGACGGGAGGCGGGACGAGUCAACGGAGGCCGGGUGGACGAAGGCAUGCAGCUGAGUACAAUCCAGAAAACAACAGAGGAGGAGUGUAGCGGCCCAGAGCCAGAACAACCAGAGUAGCAUCGUAUGUCUCUUAGAAAACAUCAUAGUAUAGCCUUUGCUAUGAAAAAACGGCAUCAUAUACAUCGUAUAUUGUACAAAUAACAAGUCAAAGGAAAGAGACAUACAUUGUAGAA